CCCUUAGAUGUUCUGGGCCGCACGCGUGCUACACUGAGUGGAUCAGCGGGUCAGGUUGCGCGAAAGCGUUUCCUAAUCUUUAAAUCCGCUCGUGAUGGGGAUUGACGGUUGCAAUUUUCUGUCAUGAACGAGGAAUACCUUGUAAGCGCGGGUCAUCAUCCCGCGCUGAAUACGUCCCUGCCCUUUGUACACACCGCCCGUCGCUCCUACCGAUUGAGUGGUCCGGUGAAAUCUUCGGAUUGAGACUUUGAUUUCUUCACGGAAAACGCUGUUUUAAGAAGUUGAUUAAACCUUACCAUUUAGAGGAAGGUGAAGUCGUAACA
This 323-nucleotide ribosomal RNA is filed under the name uncultured eukaryote. Its description in RNAcentral is "partial 18S ribosomal RNA". It matches the Rfam family "Eukaryotic small subunit ribosomal RNA", at positions 1470 to 1796 of the family's 1831-position model. The record is from RNAcentral.